This 464-nucleotide ribosomal RNA is filed under the name uncultured bacterium. RNAcentral describes it as "partial 16S ribosomal RNA". It matches the Rfam family "Bacterial small subunit ribosomal RNA", at positions 29 to 507 of the family's 1533-position model. The record is from RNAcentral.
ACGAACGCUGGCGGCGUGCUUAACACAUGCAAGUCGAACGGAAAGGCCCUGCUUGCAGGGUACUCGAGUGGCGAACGGGUGAGUAACACGUGGGUGAUCUGCCCUGCACUUCGGGAUAAGCCUGGGAAACUGGGUCUAAUACCGGAUAGGAGCCAUUUUUAGUGUGAUGGUUGGAAAGUUUUUUCGGUGUAGGAUGAGCUCGCGGCCUAUCAGCUUGUUGGUGGGGUAAUGGCCUACCAAGGCGGCGACGGGUAGCCGGCCUGAGAGGGUGGACGGCCACAUUGGGACUGAGAUACGGCCCAGACUCCUACGGGAGGCAGCAGUGGGGAAUAUUGCACAAUGGGCGCAAGCCUGAUGCAGCGACGCCGCGUGGGGGAUGACGGCCUUCGGGUUGUAAACUCCUUUCGCUAGGGACGAAGCUUUUCGUGACGGUACCUAGAUAAGAAGCACCGGCUAACUACGUG